Molecule: ribosomal RNA, 683 nt
Filed under: Arenivirga sp.
Lineage: Bacteria; Bacillati; Actinomycetota; Actinomycetes; Micrococcales; Microbacteriaceae
Description: bacterial SSU rRNA
Rfam family: Bacterial small subunit ribosomal RNA
Source: RNAcentral
GUGGCGAACGGGUGAGUAACACGUGAGUAACCUGCCCUUGACUCUGGGAUAAGCGCUGGAAACGGCGUCUAAUACCGGAUACGAGCUUCAGUCGCAUGGCUAGGAGCUGGAAAGAAUUUCGGUCAAGGAUGGACUCGCGGCCUAUCAGGUAGUUGGUGAGGUAACGGCUCACCAAGCCGACGACGGGUAGCCGGCCUGAGAGGGUGACCGGCCACACUGGGACUGAGACACGGCCCAGACUCCUACGGGAGGCAGCAGUGGGGAAUAUUGCACAAUGGGCGCAAGCCUGAUGCAGCAACGCCGCGUGAGGGACGAAGGCCUUCGGGUCGUAAACCUCUUUUAGCAGGGAAGAAGCGAAAGUGACGGUACCUGCAGAAAAAGCACCGGCUAACUACGUGCCAGCAGCCGCGGUAAUACGUAGGGUGCGAGCGUUAUCCGGAAUUAUUGGGCGUAAAGAGCUCGUAGGCGGUUUGUCACGUCUGCUGUGAAAACUGGAGGCUCAACCUCCAGCCUGCAGUGGGUACGGGCAGACUAGAGUGCGGUAGGGGAGAUUGGAAUUCCUGGUGUAGCGGUGGAAUGCGCAGAUAUCAGGAGGAACACCGAUGGCGAAGGCAGAUCUCUGGGCCGUUACUGACGCUGAGGAGCGAAAGCGUGGGGAGCGAACAGGAUUAGAUACCCUGGUA